Non-coding RNA from Acanthosepion pharaonis, 113 nucleotides. The record is from the annotation of a GenBank genome assembly. Lineage: Eukaryota; Metazoa; Mollusca; Cephalopoda; Sepiida; Sepiidae.
UAUGGCCAUAUCACAUUGAAACAUCAGUUCUGAUAUGAUCAGCAAAGUUAAGCAAAAUUGAGCCUGGUCAGUAACUUGAUGGGUGACCACUUGGAAAUACCAGGUGUUGUAAG